RNAcentral lists this ribosomal RNA (508 nucleotides) under uncultured Glomus. RNAcentral's name for it is "SSU rRNA". It matches the Rfam family "Eukaryotic small subunit ribosomal RNA", at positions 569 to 1078 of the family's 1831-position model. The record is from RNAcentral. Lineage: Eukaryota; Fungi; Glomeromycota; Glomeromycetes; Glomerales; Glomeraceae.
AGCAGCCCGCGGUAAUUCCAGCUCCAAUAGCGUAUAUUAAAGUUGCUGCAGUUAAAAAGCUCGUAGUUGAAUUUCGGGACCAUCAUGUCGGUCGUGCCUCGGUACGUACUGGCAUUGUUGGUUUCUACCUUCUGACGAACCAUGAUGUCAUUUAUUUGGUGUCGUGGGAAAUCAGGACUGUUACUUUGAAAAAAUUAGAGUGUUUAAAGCAGGCUCACGCUUGAAUACAUUAGCAUGGAAUAAUGAAAUAGGACGUUUGAUUCUAUUUUGUUGGUUUCUAGGAUCGACGUAAUGAUUAAUAGGGAUAGUUGGGGGCAUUAGUAUUCAAUUGUCAGAGGUGAAAUUCUUGGAUUUAUUGAAGACUAACUACUGCGAAAGCAUUUGCCAAGGAUGUUUUCAUUAAUCAAGAACGAAAGUUAGGGGAUCGAAGACGAUCAGAUACCGUCGUAGUCUUAACCAUAAACUAUGCCGACUAGGGAUCGGAUGAUGUUAAUUUUUUAAUGACUCA